This 253-nucleotide ribosomal RNA is filed under the name uncultured bacterium. RNAcentral's name for it is "partial 16S ribosomal RNA". It matches the Rfam family "Bacterial small subunit ribosomal RNA", at positions 524 to 776 of the family's 1533-position model. The record is from RNAcentral.
UACGAAGGGGGCUAGCGUUGUUCGGAUUUACUGGGCGUAAAGCGCACGUAGGCGGAUCGUUAAGUCGGGGGUGAAAUCCUGGAGCUCAACUCCAGAACUGCCUUUGAUACUGAAGAUCUUGAGUCCGGGAGAGGUGAGUGGAACUGCGAGUGUAGAGGUGAAAUUCGUAGAUAUUCGCAAGAACACCAGUGGCGAAGGCGGCUCACUGGCUCGUUUCUGACGCUCAGGCGCGACAGCGUGGGGAUCAAACAGG